UUUUCUUGCUUUAAUUCUAUAAACAUGAAAACAAAAUAAAAAAAGUGUGUAGAUAAGUGUGCUUUAUUUUCCUGCUAAGUUUAAUCUUUAGAAAAAAUAAAAAGACCAAAAAGAUGCAUGAUGGAAAUAAUAAACAGUUUCUCUGUUUACUUAAUUUCAAGUACCUAGCUUUUAUAUUAGAGUUCUUCCAGGAAUUACUAAAACUGAAAUUAUUAUCUUUGGGAAGCAUAAAACUAAUGUCUAGGUAAGUGAAAGGCAUGAUAUAAAGUUGAGCUGCUGUUUAUCUUGUUUGUACUACACUAAGUUCUGGAGAUUUAUUUUGAAAACUUACAAAUCACAUGAUGGGUUCCUAGCAUAACAAACUACCUACCACAGCCAUACUUGCUAAAACAUCUUUUACUAUAUUUACAUUGAGUUUGAUCGAGCUGUGUAGACCCUUAGGAGCUUUUCAUGUGGUUAAAUUAAGAUAUUCACUUGCACACAUCUACCACAACAUUCAUCACCAAUCAUUAAAAUUGCUAAAAAUAUUAUCACUCACUGUCCCAAAUAUUGUUAUUUUCUCUCUCUGAAAAGAUUUAAUGCAGAAGAGGCAAGGGUUAUGCAAAAAUAUACGAGGAAAUAAAAAGAGGCAAGUGCCCAGAACCUCGAAAAAGAAAGAAAAAAGAGUGAGACGAGAGGUAAAAAUGCUUGAGCGGAAAAAAUGGACAAGUGUCCGACAGUAGAAUUAGGGGUAUCUACUACCCACCUGAAAAAAAAGAGAAAAAAAAAGAUAGCCCAUGUUCUCCCAAAGCAAAGAUCAAAGAAGAGGAGAAAUAGCAAUAUGAGGAGCAAUGAGAACUAAGUUUUAUUAUCACUUAUAUAUCUUCAUCAUCACUAUCAUUACUCCAUCACACAUGCACAUCUUGAUUUAAUUAUAUGCUGAGUUCCUUUGGAUCCGUGGCUCGAUUAGACAACAUAUGUAUGAGCUGUUUUUCACUCCUAUGAGCUCCACUUAAAUAUUCCAUUAGCUAUAGGUAAGUGAUAUUUUGGUAAGGAUCCACAAAUACCACAUAUAGAGAGAAUUGAGAGAAUCAUCGCUGGGAACUCUGAGUUUUAUUUUAAAAACUUAUGAAAAACUCUGGAACAAAAGUGAAGUAUAAAUAGGAGGAAUAGUGCUUGACUUAACUAUUUUGUCUUUCAAUUACUUAAGACUUAGGUGCAGGUUCUAAACUCCAUGACAAUUCACUCUAAUCUGGAAGAAAUUUUAUAGAAGCAUGUGUGCCAGUCAGGAAAGAAAACAUCGAAGCAACUCCUGAUCCGUCUGAGUUUAGCUGUUUGCUCAGGGACGAGCAAAGGGUAAGCUUGGGGGAGUUUGUUGACGGUCCUUAAGUACUAAAAUUAAUAAUCAAAUAAACAUGAAAAAGGAUCAAUAUGAAACAAACAUCUAGAAUUAGGGUUUUAUUUGACAGAAUUCCACGAGCUUUGGUGUUUAUCUAUUUCUAUAGGGGGUUAUCAGAGAAUAUGGAGAGAAGGCCCACAUGUCAUGUUUACAACGAGAUAAUUACGUGUCGCGCAAUUUUCCUCAAUCUAGAAGAGUCGAGAAGCCACGGGAACGAACGAGAGCACGAUCGGGCUCGGGGGCAGGGCGGCCGCCCACCCCCCUUGGGCGCCCGCCCAGGGUUGGAGACCAAUCGGGACUCUGCUUCGGGACUACGCUCCACCGACCUAAAGGAUCAAUCUAAACCAUACAAUCUAUGUCGGUUUGAUCUGACGGCCCAUAUUCACUUGAAAAGACUAUAUAACCAAGGCCUCUCCACCCCUGGAGGAGAGAGGAGAAGAGAAGAAAUCAUUAUGCAGAGGUAGCCAUCAAAGUUAGGGUUUAGAGCUUCUCUCCCAUAGAGAAUUAGAAUUAGCUACUCCCUAAUCCUUCAAGUUUAGAGGUUUGAUUAGAUAGCAAUUAGAGAAGUAGAGCACUACGCUCUGGAUUCGGAUCUUCGGUAAUAAAGAUUGGUAUUAUUCACAUCUUUCUCUAAUUCUUUGUUCUAAUUGCAUUAUGUCUCUAGUUAUUAUGAUCUUAGUUUGCUCUAGUUCUAUAUUUGAUAUAGUUCUAAUUGAUAAUGAGUUUAUGUAUAAGUUUGCAAAGCACUUAGCUCUUGACGCGAGGGAGUUAGGUGAUAGAUAACAUGUGAGCGUGGUGCUUAGAUGUUAUUUAUCUGCAAAUGUAUCCUAUUGGCCGGGUUGUGUGGUAGUUCGCGAUAGUGACAGCUUCGCUGAUUCUUAUAUAGUCCACCCUCCGUUGAUAGGACAGGCAGAACCGGUAUUGUGGAGUAAGUCUUGCGAUGCUCUGAUUUACUUUAGCAAUGUUCCUUAUACAUGAAUGAAGAGUCUUUUAUGCUAUAUAUGAUCUUGUAGAUAACUAGAGUAGAUUAUGACUUAGUAGUUAGUAGAUAACUUAGAAUCCAUUCUCUAGCUAAUCCGACAUCACCUACAUAUAUGAGGAGUAGUCUAAUUUCUAAUCGCUGUGUUAUUUAUCCCUUGAACUUAUAAUUCAUUAUCAUUAUCUUUAUGGUUUACCCCGUGCUAAAGUAAGUGACUGUGUGACAAGUUUCUCAUUAGUAAUCAUGUUCUUGCAAGUUUAUCUCUAGUCUAUGCCUUGAUAGAUUUUGUCCUUAAUUUAAUUUCAUCCCUUUUGUUCUCUUAAGCAAAAUUAUAAAUAACGAUACCUGGAAUACUUAUCCUGGUGAAAUGCUACAAUGAGGUGUUUUAUCUGUGCGCUUGCGGAUAGAAUAGAUUCUUUUCUAGAGAGCCUUUACAUUUAUAAAUACCUUUGUACACUCUGGCACCAUGCUGGGGAUGACAACCUAGUAUCUAAGUGGUGUUAGCUAGUGUCAACAUAGAGCACUACGCUCUGGAUUCGGAUCUUCGGUAAUAAAGAUUGGUAUUAUUCAUAUCUUUCUCUAAUUCUUUGUUCUAAUUGCAUUAUGUCUCUAAUUACUAUGUUCUUAGUUUGCUCUAGUUCUAUAUUUGAUAUAGUUCUAAUUGAUAAUGAGUUUAUGUAUAAGUUUGCAAAGCGCUUAGCUCUUGACGCGAGGGUGUUAGGUGAUAGAUCACAUGUGAGCGUGGUGCUUAGAUGUUAUUUAUGUGCAAAUGUAUCCUAUUGGCCGGGUUGUGUGGUAGUUCGCGAUAGUGACAGCUUCGUUGAUUCUUAUAUAGUCCACCCUCCGUUGAUAGGACAGGCAGAACCGGUAUUGUGGAGUAAGUCAUGCGAUGCUCUGAUUUACUUUAUCAAUGUUCCUUAUACAUGAAUGAAGAGUCUUUUAUGCUAUCUUGUAGAUAACUAGAGUAGAUUAUGACUUAGUAGUUAGUAGAUAACUUAGAAUCCAUUCUCUAGCUAAUCCGACAUCACCUACAUAUAUGAGGAGUAGUCUAUUUUCUAAUCGCUGUGUUAUCUACCCAUGAACUUAUAAUUCAUUAUCAUUAUCUUUAUGGUUUACCCCCUAUUUAAGUAUGUGACUGUGUGACGAGUUUCUCAUUAGUAAUCAUAUUCUUGUAAGUUUAUCUCUAGUCUAUGCCUUGAUAGAUUUUGACCUUAUUAUAAUUUUACCCCUUGUCUUCUUAAGCAAAAUUAUAAAUAACGAUACCUGGAAUACUUAUCCUAGUGAAAUGCUACAAUGAGGUGUUUUAUCUGUGCGCUUGCGGAUAGAAUAGAUUAUUUUGUAGAGAGCCUUUACAUUUAUAAAUACCUUUGUACACUCUGGCACCAUGCUGGGGAUGACAACCUAGUAUCUAAGUGGUGUUAGCUAGUGUCAACACUCCCUAGGAAGCGGGUUAAGAGACUCGCGACCUCGAGCGAAAGAGUAAAUCAUGACUCAUAGGGAAUGUGUACAAGCUCUAUUAUAUGAGCCGUGCUCAAGGUCACAAGCGGCCUUGGAACCGAUACAGAAUAAAUGAUCACUAAUGGCAAAUCAAUAAUGUUAUUGUUAAUAAUAUGCUAUUUAUGCUAUUCUAUAUUCAUUUUACUUGAUCAUGAGUUUACUUUGGAUCUUGACUACUUGAUGCUACUCAUAUGCUAAAAUUGUGACAACUAAAAGCUACAUACAGUUAAACUAGUGUCUAGCCUUUGAGCCUCAUGAACGAGAUGUACUUAUGCUUGUUUAUUUUCUUUAUUGGAUAAAAAUCUCAGAUGGGUAACAGAUGACAUGGGUAAUGACUACUACUAGUACUUCCCUGAGGAUUUCUAGACUUGUGGUCAACCAGUUGAUGUGCCUGUGAGAUGGAGCAUCUACAUGAGACUUAUCUUUUUAUUUCUGCUUCAUUUGUGUAUAGACUCUGAGAUAAUAUCGUUAUGUAAUAAACACUUGUGAUGAUACUUCCUAUAAUUUGUCAGCUUAUGUGUGAUUGAUCUCUGGGUGCACAUAAGAUAUUGCAUUUAUUUUUAUCCUUAAAAUUGGGUGUGACAAAUUGGUAUUAGAGCCGUGUUGACUGUAGGACGCAAGCCUAGAUAGAAAUGGUCAUAUUGAUUGUCUUUACUUCUCUACUCUCAUGCUUAUUGUCUUACUCUUGUUAUUUGCUAAAAUUCUUAUGCUUCUGUCUUCUUACUCUAUUAUGAAAUUAUUCCUUCUAUUCUAACUUCUUUUUGGUCUAAUUCUAUAGAUGGUUCGUGCCCACAUGACUACCCGUAUCUCAACCGGAGGAUACUACCCACCUCGUCACCAGUACGAGCCUAUGGAGUCACGUGUGGAGAGUUCGUCCGAAUAUGAAGAGACUCCACCACCCCUAAUACAAGCAUUUGAACCAGAGCUAUCACAAUUGGAGUCUGAAGCUAAAGAGGACCCCAGGAGGUCAUUCGAAUCUCUAACGAUGAAGAGGAAGAAGGUGCUAUUCCAGGUGGUGGUCAACCCCUAUCACCGCCACGAGAUGAAACUACUGAGGAUGAUGAUACCACUCCUAUGGGAUGGACUAGAAAGGUUUACCAUAAGUCGUCGUGCUACGCUCCGUCGCACCACCGACUCGUGGGGAUGUUGGAUCCCUACUUCUCUGACUGGGAUGCAACUGUGGAGUAUUCUUGCAGCGAGUACACACACCCCCUAGAGGACACUUACUGGAAGUCAAAAGUGCAUAUCUAUCCCAAGGAUGUGGAGAAAGAUGCGUACCUUAAAGACAGAGGUUACCAUCAUGAUGGACAUAGGGCUACCAUGGAGGAGAGCACGGAGGAAGCAACUUUCACAGCAUGUUUGUUCCUCCGUGAGCACCGUUUUAGUGACAUGCGGUGGGAUAUAUAUCAUUACCUACCCUGCAUAGAUCCCAAACAAGGAUGGGGAAUGCUGGACCUAGUGGAUCUAGACCCAGUUUCUUGAGUGAUGUUGCACUUCGCUCAUGAUAUGAUGGAGAAGCAUCUAAAAUUGCAAGACAUGGUGAUAGCACAAGAGAAGGCUCUCAAGAGGUGCUAUAAGGUGAUAGAUAACCAUUGGGAGAAGGAAGGACUGCCUAAGAUCUAUGAGAAGCUCGAAUAUGAACCACACCCUUAGUAUUGGAGUCCCUACUAUGUAAUAAUACGUUAGAAGCGCAAGUGAGUCGAGUCAAGUUUUUGUGUGGUGUGCACUUUGCUAUGCUUAGUAGUUUUAUUAUUGUGUUUAUGUGUGAGUUGGAUUUUUGUAAUGAGUGCUGGGACAUUAUAGGCAUGUCUACAAGUUCCAUAGUUUAGGUUAUUAAUGAUUAAGGAUUAUUGAAUAAAUAGUUGGGUUGGUAUAUUCUGUCUUUCGUGUUUUGCUUCCCAGGACCAAUUUGUCUUUACGGUAAUACUUAGAAAAAUCCACACAACCAAAAAUCAUGAAAUUUUCACUAGUAGAAAAGAGUACAACGCCGACGCCCCCUAUGAAUUUUAGUUAUCACGCGCCUAUGGUAUAAAAAGGGCGGUGCAGAACUACGAACCGUUUGUGAAGAUGCAUUUUCACAGGCGGUUUUCCUAACAAAACCGUCUGUUCAAAUCAUGGAUUUCUACAGGCGGUUGUCCUAAGGAACCGCCACUAAAAAUCAUAUUUCUACUGGCGGUUUUCCUAACAAAACCGCCAGUAGAAAUCAUGUAUUUCUACAUGCGGUUCUCCUAACAAACCGCCUGUAAAAAUCAUAUUUCUACGGGUGGUUUCUUAAGAAAGCUGCCUGUAGAAAUUAUUUGAAAUUGAAUUUUUUGAGUUUUUCAAAUGACCUUGUUUGAAAAAACUGUCAAAAUGAAAGUUGUAGAUCUCGAAAAGUUAUGAAACUUUGUAGUUGAUAAUUUUUUCAUUUGACAUCAUCUUGUCGUCGAAAACUACGUUUGAAUUUCUUAAAUUUGAAAUUAAAAUUUUGUAAAUGACCUCAGAUGGAAAAACUUUCAAUAGAAAAGUUGUAGAUCUUGAAAAGUUAUGAAACUUUGUAGUUGACAACUUUUCCAUUGUAAUCCGUUUAGGGCCUUAAAUAAGAGCAAGGUCUUAGGUUCGAAUCCCACCGGCCGCGAAACACGCAAUUUUACGUGAAAAAAUACGCGACUUAGCCAAUGGGCCUCCCUUGUAAUUAAAAUAUUUUUUUUCUAUUUUUAAAAGUCGAUUUUGUAUUUGGUCUCAGGUUCGAAUCCCACCGGCCGCGAAACACGCAAUUUUACGUGAAAAAAUGCGCGACUUAGCCAAUGGGCCUCCCUUGUAAUUAAAAUCCUUUUUUUUCUAUUUUUAAAAGUCAAAUUUGUAUUUUCUGUAAAAACAUUUCUACAGGCGAUUCACAUAACUGAACCGCCUGUAGAAAUGAAUUUCUACAGGCAGUUCUUAGUUACCGCGUGUAGAAUUGGCCCAUUUCUACUGGCCUCCACCGCAGGCGGUGCUGAAAAACGCCAGUAGAAAUAGGUUUCCAGCCACCUGUAUAGUAUGCCUUUGUACUAAUGUUUUAUGAGAUUAACUAGACUUAAGCAUCUUUCCGAUGCCUCUGGAAUCACCUUUUUUCUGAUCGGGUCCGUGAGAUACGAAUGUUGAACGUUGAAGUUUUUGUGCAGUCUGAGUUCUAGAACAGUUUCAGUUGUGGACAGUUUUUGUUUAAUUUAACGUCAAAAUCUGAAAGUGUGUUCUUAACAAAAGGUGUAGACAACUUCUUAAGCUUUCCAUCCAUGAAAAUUACGCCUCUGUUGGACUAAUGUAUCUCGAGAUAUGGUUAAUUUACUGAACUGGUGACAAUGGAACUCGCCCAGAAAUUUCCAGAACUACGAAUUUUAUCACUAUAAUUAAGUUUCUAUAACUUGGGAAAUUCUAAAGUUUUGCAUAUUUUGUUAGAUGACAGAUUCCACCAAGGGGUAGAGGACGUGGAAGGGGUGUUCCACUCAACCCGCCAGCCACACUAGAUUAGUUGCUGACAGUCCAGACGCAACUCAUGGAGGUCGUGGUGAACAAUCAACAAAAUCAACCAAUUGGAGGGGUACCACCGCGUGACAAGCGGGGCGAAUUCUUGAAGGGUCAUCCACCGGUGUUCAUGCAUGCCUCUGAUCCACUGGAGGCAGAUGACUGGCUCCAUGUAGUGGAGAAGCAACUCAACAUAACAUAGUGUGAUGACCGGCAGAAGGUGUUGUUCAUCUAGACAACUUCAGGGAGAAGCUCAAACAUGGUGGAAGUCAUUUGAGUAUGGACGUCCCCCCAAUGCUCCUGCUAUCACUUGGUAGGAGUUUAGAGAGAAUUUUAGGUCCUAUCACAUACCAGAGGGACUAAUGGAGCUGAAGGCAGAGGAGUUCUGAAAUUUGAAGCAGGGAUCUAUGACUGUUCCUGAGUACCGUGACAAGUUUGCACAGUUGUCACGCUAUGCUCCAAAUGAGGUGGCUAAUGAUGCUGAUAAACGUCUCUUUCUAAAGGAUUUGCAUGAUGGUCUCUAACUUCAGUUGAUGUCCAAUGAAUACCCCAAUAUCAGACGCUUGUGAACCGUGCUAUUGUGGUGGAUAGCAAGCGCAAGGAGAUGGAUGCUAAGAGGAAGCGGAUGCAGGGACAAGCCUCUGGAAGCAAUACCCAUCAACGCACCAACUCACAGCAGGGCUUUCAGCAAAGGUACCAGGGAGCACCUUCUUAGUGGAAUCAUGGUUAGUACCCCUAGCGCAAUCAGUUCUAUUAGCGCCCACAGAACCAACAGAAUUGGCAGCAGGGCAACCAGCAAGCACCAUGCUAGGGGACAUCGAACAACACUCCAAUGAAGACUAGUGCUCCUAACACCCCCAACAAGUGUUUCUAUUGUGGUAAAGAGGGUCACCUGUCUUAUCACUGCCCUAAAAAGCCAAACCAACAGACCCCCUAGAAGUAGAAUGGUCAUCAGAAGUCCACUCCCAAUAUCGGAAGGGUGAACCACAUGUCCUCUGAGACAGCACUGCAGGAACCCGAAGUCAUGCUUGGUACGUUCGAUGUCAACUCUAUCCCUACCUCUGUUCCUUUUUAUUCUGGAGCCUCGUAUUCUUUCAUAUCACAAGCAUUUGUUAGAACACAUAGCCUACCAUUAUGUGCCAUGAAGAAUCCCAUACUAGUAAAUUCACCGGGGGGAGUAUGCAAGCUUCUUAUCGUUGUCUCCCAAUUAGUUUAACUCUAAGGGGGGUAGAGUUCGAAAUAAGUCCCAUUGUGGGAAUGGAUUGGAUGAAGCAAUAAGAUGCUUCGAUUUAGUGUAAAGGAAAGAUAGUUGCACUAACAACACUAAAAGGUGAAAUAAUCUAUGUGGAGGUUGCAGUCUAGCCUCAACCAAUAGCUAGAGUGAACCAGCUUGAUAAUAGUGUAAGCAAGGAGGAUCUGGUUGUUGAUAAGUUUUCAGAUGUGUUCCCCGAUGAUUUGCUAGGUAUGCCACCUUACCGUGACAUUCAAUUUAUUAUUGAAUUAUUACCUGGCACUGCACCUAUAGCUAAACGUCCAUAUAGAAUGGGGGUUAAUGAAUUAGAAGAACUUAAGAAACAAAUAAUAGAGUUACAGGAGAAAGGUUUCACUUGUCCUAGCUCUUCACCUUGUGGAGCAUCGGUGAUUUUUGUCGAGAAUAAGGAUGGUACAUAGAGGAUGUGUUGACAGAAGGGAGUAACUGCGGAAAGGUAUCAUUACUGGAGAGAAUUUCAGAGCAUUAAUGAUUUUAUACUCCAAAAUUGGGGGCAUGUGUUGACAUCGUUUUUUUGACACGUAUCCGGACAAGUAGUGGAACCUAGAUCGGCAGGCGAAAAAGUGAUGGCUACUGACAAAGGGAAUUAUCGAUAGUUUAUGAUGCCGAUGAUAAAGCAACAUGAUAUGAUUGAAUCCAAAGAUGGUGGUUGAUCUCUGCCGAUGGUUGAUGCUGGCAGUUGCCGAUGCCGAUGGGGUUAAUAUGCCGAUAAUGAUGAAAGAUGGCGUGGAGUCAUAGGGAAGAUGAUGGUGGUGUGCUGAUUGCCUAAAAUAGAUAAAUGUUUUCCAUAGUUGUUAGAGUUUGUUUUGUAUACAGAUUCCGUUUAGUUUGGAAUUAGAAUCCUAGUCGUACUUGAUUGUAACUCUUUAGAUAGAGUAUAAAUAUGGACCUAGUAGCGAUGUAAGACAUAUACAGUCAAUCAAACACAAGUUUUUUACAUCUAUUUCAGCAUCUACUUUUCGACGUCUUCGUCAUCUCGCAUAUUUUCUUUUUACUUACGAGUUCUUAGGAAUUCAUCGAGUCAAACUCGGCGAGUUCUCAAGUUCCACAUGAAUACCUCUUGGCCGUGGCAUCUGGGCGUAUCGCUGUUGUCGGGACCAAAGUAUUCGAGUUAUCACCUUUGUCGGUUGUAAGGUCAAAUCGGCUGGCACGCCUUAACAUUGAAUCAGGUAUUAGCCCUUUGUGUUUGCAGAUCUACUUUUGCAUCAACACAUCUUUUGGCACGCCGGGUGGGACCGAGAUAUCGUCGAGAUCAACAUGUCAAAUACUAAUUUCGACACAGAGAACAUCAUUGUUGUAACUAAGGCUAAUCUCAGAGAUGAGCAGAAGCAAGCUGUGGCAAAAGCUAUGGAGGAAUACAAGCAGCUAUGUUUGAAGUCCUUCAGUGUCGACAGGAGCAGCGAGGUGAUCCAAAAUGAAGCAUUGUCGAUGCCUCGGCAAAUCACUUUUGAAGCCAAUCCUGGUAAAUUGCAAGAGAUGGUUGGUAAUGCUAUUAAUCGUGCUUUAAUCAAUCAAUCCAGUGUGCUGUCCAAUACUGUUUUCAAUGCUGUGGCUAAAACCUUCAAAGAAGGACAGAUACCACCAUCUUAUGUGGGCCUGGCCUAUCAUCAGCCAGGAUAAUCAUGGGUUACGGCUCCAUCGGCUCCUUCAGCCGUUGCCGGUAUAGAAGUUACACUUCUCCUCCAAGCACAUUAGGGAUGACUAAUGGGGAAUCUACAUCGAUGAGGACUAAUCCAGCAACAUCAGAGGGACAAGUUCAACUUGCCACAGAUCUAUUGGCAUCGGCAAUGUCAGGGUUUGUAUUCCAAAAUUGUCAAGUUCCUCCCAACUGGUGGGGAUAUGGUAUGCCUCUAGAAUUUUUCGCAAAUAGUUCUAGAACAUCUCAAGUGGCUGACGUGACAGGCAAGGCUCCUAUGAAAUCGGCACCUCCGGUAUCGCCGAUGGCUCAAAAUCCUCAAUAUUCCACAACUACUACUGUGAGGCCUCUUACUGGAAAUUUUCAGAUGCCAACGUUCCAGAUGCCCAAUGCAUCGGCAGAUCCAUUGCCGACGCACCAAAGGUUUAUGACUCAGACAGGGUAUGUUAACCCAAUGAUGACACUCAAUUAUCAGCCAUCGGCUAGGCCUAUGCCGAUGAUCAAUGGAUGGACAUGACAGUUUGUCUUUCCACAAAUAGCUCAGCAGAAUCAUCAGGCUACGGGAUUCCAGCAAGGACAGAUGCAGCGUGGUUUUCAGAAUCAAGGACCAAUCCAUCAGCCAAUGAAUCUUGCUCAGCAGAUCGGUGGCCAACAAGCUGUGGCUAAUGCUAUGUUCCCUGGAGAUCAUGCACCUCAAAGGCAGGUGCCAGAACUGUUGUGUAUUCUUAACAUCAUUACCAAAAGUAGACUUAGUUUUCUAAUUCUGAUAACGGUGCCAAAAAUACCAAACCUAUCCCUCAUACCACUUAAGCCAAGUUGUCAUCCCUAGCAUGAGAUGAGAGACGCGGUAUUGAAAUAUGCAAUUGUUCUUCUAAAUAAAUAAUGAAUGGGAUCUGCAAGCGCACAGAUUAAUACCGAUGUAGCAUUUUAACUAGAAAGUAUUCCAGGUAUCGUUAUUUAUAUUUUUACCACUAGGAAGGGAUUAGCAAUCAUCAAUCUUGAUUAUAGAAUAGAAUAUGAGAUUGAGUAUCUAUCAUUGCAUGUAUAAUUGAGAACAUUUAUCUAACUCUUUCAUACAGGGAUAAGUGUCACAUAAAAGAUAUAUGAAGUAAUGAAUAGCGACAAAGAUAAUUAAUCUGAUCAGCAUAACUUAGCCACAUAAUAAAUAUGAUAAGCACCUCAAUUAGAUGCUCUAGAAAGUCAUUAGCAUGGUAUUAGAACGAACUACAAGAAUGUUUCCUAAGUUGUUCUCAACUAUAUAGUCUGCAUUAUCAUAGUUAGUGCAAGCAUACUUAGCAAUCAUUGUGAGACAAGACUACGUCCAUGCAUAGUGAUAUUAGCAAGGUAAAUGAGAAACAUAGCAAUCACUCCCCUGUAAUAAUGUUGCUCUGCCAGCCCAAUACACGAGAGGGGGACUAUAUAAGAAUCAAUGAAGCUGUCACUAUCACGAACUACCCCACGAUCUGGCAUAUUGGGUACAAUCGCAGGUAAAUACGAUAUAGGCACCACGCCUACAUAAUAUCUAUCAUUUACCCAUGGAUCCGAUGGAUAAACGCUAUACGAUCCUAAACAUGUUUAUAGAUCCAAUCUAACUAAGCCAAGUAUAUAACUAUGAUAAACUAAGAACAAUAUAAUCUUGAAUAUAAACAAGUAGAGCAAAGUCAUAAGCAAUAUAUUAAAGUAGAACAAAGUUAUAUUCAUAAUAUUGAAGAACAAAGAUGAUUAGAAGAACAAUUAGAAGCACAAUUAGAGAAUUACCAAGAAUCCUCUUGACAAAUCCGGAAACCAAUCGAAUAUUGACUCCUUCUAAUUCUAAUUCUAUGUAGCUAUACUAAUCUAGAUGUCUAAUUGAUGUGGUGGCUCUAGGCUUGAUCAGAGGCUUCUUCUCCCUUGAGAAUAAUGAAUUAGUGUUGAGAGGCUUUCUCCUCCAGGGGCCAGGGUGUCUGGUUUUAUAGUCCCUUCAAGUGAAUAUGGGCCGUUGGAUCAAACCGACAUUGAUUGAACGGUUAUCCUUGAUCCUUUAGGUCGGUGGAGAUCUUUCCCGAAAGAGUGUCCUGAUUGGACUCAGAGACGGGGCGGGCGCCCAGGUCAACUGGGCGGGCGCCCAGUGCCUGGCCCCAUUCGGCCUCCGCUUCCUUCCCGUGGCUUCUGGAGUCUUCUAGAUGUAAGAUAAUUGCGCGGCACGUUGAUAUCUCUAUGUAAUCCCGAUGUGUGGGCCUUUCUUCCUUAUUUCCUGAUAACCCCCUGUAGAAAUAGACAAACACCAAAACUCAUGGAAUUCUGUCAGAUAAAACCCUAAGUCUGGAUGUUGAUUUCAUUUGGAUCUUUUUCUUUGUUUAUUUGAUAAUUAAAUUUGGUACUUAAGGACCGUCAACAAGAACCUCAACCUAUACAUCGGCAGGAUGCCGAUGCCUAUUGGGCCGAUAAGAUAGCAGAAGUUAUGAGGGAUCAGUUUGGGAUAAAACCCAAGGUCAAUACUUAUUCUUAUCGGACACCAUACCCUCCUGCAUAUGAUUUGAUUCCACUCCCAAAUCGGUACAAAGUGCCAGAUUUCACUAAAUUCUCUAGGCAAGAUGAUACAUCUACUAUGGAGCAUGUCAAUAGGUUCAUCAUCCAGUGUGGAGAUGCUGCUAAUAGAGAGGAGUUAAGAGUUCACUUAUUCUCAACAUCUUUGUAUGGAUCGGCCUUUACUUGGUUCAUUUCAUUGCCUCCAAACUCAGUAAUUACUUGGGCCGAUUUGGAGAAGCCGUUCCACAAAUACUUCUUUUCUGGAGUUCAUAAGAAGAAGAUUACCGAUUCAGUUAGACUGAGGCAACAUAAUGAUGAAUCUGUUGAAAGUUUCGUGCAAAGGUUGCGGGAUGUCAAGAAUAAAUACUAUAGUGUGGUUCUGGAUGAUCGGCAGCUAUCCGAUUUAGCUUUCUAAGGGUUGUUGCCACACAUUAAAGACAAAUAUGCCUCUCAAGAAUUUGAAAGUCUAAGUCAUCUGGUGCAGAGAAUUUCUGAUCAAGCUAUCAAAGCUUUUGAACCUAAGAGAGCAUGGAACAAAAAGGUGUCGUUUGUUGAUGAGGUGAAAAGCUCAGAUUCUGAUGAAGAACUAGUCAUCGGCUUAGCAGAAUGGGUAAAAAGCAAAAAGCCAAUGUCUUGUCCUUUUGGCCAUAAAGAGCCAGAAAAGUUCGCUCUUGAUAUCACAAAAGCCGAUAGGAUAUUUGACUUUCUGCUUCAGGAGGGGCAAAUUCAAUUGUCACCCAAUCAUGUGAUUCCAUUGGCAGAAGAGUUGAAGAAGAUCAAGUAUUGUAAAUGGCAUAAUGCAACGUCUCAUAGUACAAAUGAAUGCAAGGUGUUCAGACAACAGCUACAAUCGGCUAUAGAGUCUAGGAGGAUUAAAUUUGAUAGCUCCAAAGCUCAAAAGACCAUGAAAAUUGAUCAGCAUCCUUUCCCUACAAAUAUGCUGGAUGCUACGGGGAAGACCAAAUUCUUGACAUCGGAGGCAGCUGAGAAGAACGCAUCGGUGGACCCCCAGCAUCAGAUUAUUGCCGAUGACGCCAAAGAUAAAGGAUUAAUCUAGGAGGGCACUAGUUCGGGGAGACCUCCUCGAUCCGGCAUUGUGAUCACUCAUAGGCACCAUCGGGAGACAUGGCAACAGCGUGAAGAUCGGUAUCGCCGCCAGCAAGAGGAUCGUCGCCGAGAAGAGGAAAGGCGUCGACAAGAGUGGAAUCGGCACAAAGACCAUUGGAAUUGCCCCUUCUUCAUUCACUGUUGGGAGCAAAACAUCAAGUUACCAACUAUUAGAGACUGCCCGGAGUGCAAUGGCUAUAAUCAGCAUGACAGACAAAAUCGGCGAUAUCAAGACGAUGAUCGACGUUUUAAUGGGCCGAUUAGAGGAAGGACAUUAGUUCAUGAUCGGCUACGGGGCAGGCUCAGUGUGCAUGACAAGCUUGGUGAACGUGUCGGUUAUUUUCCCAGGAACCAAGAGGAACUUGACGAGAUGGUGGAUGCACGAGUUCCCGAUGAGUUCAUAUUUUGUAGUGAUGCUAAUACUUAUCGGAUGGAAUUAAGGGAGGCUCGACAUCAAUUGGUAAGGCGAACACAACUUCCUCCAUGGUGUCUAUUGACGGUCCUUAAGUAUCAAAUUUAAUUAUCAAAUAAAUAAAGAAAAGGAUCCAAAUGAAAUCAAGAUCUAGACUUAGGGUUUUAUCUGACAGAAUUCCACGAGUUUUGGUGUUUGUCUAUUUCUGCAGGGAGUUAUCAGGAAAUAUGGAAGAAAGGCCCACAUGUCAGGAUUACGUCAAGAUAUUAACGUGCUGCGCAAUUAUCUUACAUCUAGAAGACUCCAGAAGCCACGAGACCGAAGCGGAGGCGAAUCGGGGCCACAGACAGGGCGCCCGCCCUGUCCAACUGGGCGCCCGCCCUGCCCCUAAGUCCAAUCAGGACUCUGCUUUGCGGGAAGUCUCCACCGACCUAAAGGAUGAAUCUAAACCAUACAAUCUAUGUCGGUUUGAUCCAAGGGCCCAUAUUCACUUAAAGGGACUAUAAAACCAGACCCCCUGGCCCCUGCAGGAGAGAGCCUCUCAACCCUAAUUCAUUGUUCCAUCAAGGGAGAAAUAGCCUCUGAUCAAUAUUAGAGCCACCACAUCAAUUAGAUAUCUAGAUUAGCAUAGCUACAUAGGAUUAGAACUAGAAGGAGUCAAUCUUCGAUUGGUUUCCGGAUCUGUCAGGAGGAUUCUUGGUAAUUCUCUAAUUGUGCUUCUAAUUGCUUUCUAAUUAUCUUUGUUCUUCAAUAUUAUGAAUAUGACUUUGUUCUACUUCAAUAUAUUGCUUAUGACUUUGCUCUAUUUGCUUAUAUUCAAGAUUAUAUUGUUCUUAGUUUAUCAUAGUUAUGUACUUGGCUUAGUUAGAUACGAUCUAUAUACAUGCUUAGGAUCGUAUAGCGUUUAUCCAUCGGAUCCAUGGGUAAAUGACAGAUAUUGUGUAGGCGUGGUGCUUAUACCGUAUUUAUCUGCGAUUGUACCCAAUAUGCCAGAUCGUGGGGUAGUUCGUGAUAGUGACAGCUUCAUUGAUUCUUAUAUAGUCCCCCUCUCGUGUAUUGGGCUGGCAGAGCAACAUUAUUACAGGGGAGUGAUUGCUAUGUUUCUCAUAUUCCUUGCUAAUAUCACUAUGCAUGGGCGUAGUCUUGUCUCGCAAUGAUUGCUAAGUAUGCUUGCACUAACUAUGAUAUGCUAGACUAUAUAGUUAAGAAUAACUUAGGGAAUAUUCUUGUAGUUCGUUCUAAUACCAUGCUAAUGACUUUCUAGAGUAUCUAAUUGAGGUGCUUAUCAUAUUUAUUAUGUGGCUAGAUCAGAUUAGUUAUCCUUGUCACUAUUAUCAUUUCAUAUAUCUAUUAUGUGACAUUUAUCCCUGUAUGAAGAGUUAGAUAUAAUGUUCUCAAUUAUACAUGCAAUGAUAGAUGCUCAAUCUCAUAUUCUAUUCUGUAAUCAAUAGUGAUGAUUGACUAAUCCCUUCCCAGUGGUAAAAAUAUAAAUAACGAUACUUGGAAUACUUCCCGGUUAAAAUGCUACAUCGGUAUUAAUCUGUGCGCUUGCAGAUCCCAUUCAUUAUUUAUUUAGAAGAGCAAUUGCAUAUUUCAAUACCGCGUCUCUCAUGUCAUGCUGGGGAUGACAACUUGGCUUAAGUGGUGUGAGGGAUAGGUUUGGCAUUUUUGGCACCGUUGCUAGAUUUAGAACUUAGUCUACUUUUGGUAAUGAUGUUAAGAAUACCCAACAGUGUCUAGAAGGGUUGACAAGGACACAGAAGAGGAGAAUGCAGCGAGAACGACAAGAAGAACUGAGCAGGGAAGAAAAUUCUGCUAAGUCUGGAGAUCGGCAGCAGUCGGGUCACAAGGGAAAAGGGCCAUCGGCAGAUGUUAAGAUGGUAUUUAUAUUGUCGAUGGAGUUUCUUGCACCUUUCAAUGAUAAUGAGGAGAUAGAUUUCCCUGAUCAGAUAGCUCAGUUAGCUCUUGACCCAAUGACGGCUAUCUUUGAAAAGCCCGCUGACGAUGAAAGACAACAUCUUAAAGCUUUAUUUGUCAAGGGCAGGGUUGAUGGGCAGCCGAUGACCAAGAUACUUAUUGUUGGUGGAGCUGCUAUCAACAUUAUGCUAUAUGCAGUCUAUCGGAAGCUUGGCAAAGGGGAUCAGGAUUUGACCAAGACCGAUAUGAUGUUGAAAGAUUUUGAGGGAAACGUGUCUCCAGUCAAGGGAGCCAUAUGUGUUGAGUUGACCAUCGGCAGCAAAACCUUGCCGACGAUUUUUUUUGUCAUUAGUGGAAAGGGUGCCUACAAUUUGCUAUUGGGGAGAGACUGGAUUCAUGCCAAUUGUUGUAUUCCCUCUACAAUGCACCAGUGCUUGGUUCAAUGGGUAGGUGACAAGAUUGAAAUUGUCCUAGGAGAUUCGUCAUAUGUCAUCGCAUCUACAGAGGCAGAUACUUAUGAGAGGACUAGAUGCAUUUCAGGAGAAGUUUGGGAGAAGGAUUUUCUCAAAGUUGCCGAUAAUGAAAUUCCACCGAUCCAAGCAGUCGGUUCUGAUGAAGGGUUUUGAUGGAUAGGUUCACCGAUGAUGGAAAAAUAGGUCAGGGGUUUACAUCGACCGAUGAUUUAGUAGAAGUAGAUAUAGGUAAUGGUGAUAAGCCAAGGCCUACUUUUAUUAGCGCUAAGUUGGAUUCUGAGUGUAAGCAACAAUUAACCGAUUUGUUAAAGGAAUAUAAAGAUUGCUUUGCUUGGGAUUAUACCAAGAUGUCUGGUUUAGACCGAUCAAUCGUUGAAUAUCGGUUGCCUAUCAAGUCUGGGUUUCGGCCGUAUCAGUAGCCAGCACGCUGAUGCAAUCCUAAUAUUCUUCCUAAUAUUAAGGCCGAAAUAACUAAACUUAUUGAGGCUAAAUUUAUUUGGCAGUGUCGGUAUGCCGAAUAGAUUUCCAAUGUUGUCCCCGUUUACAUGAAAAAUGGGAAGCUUCAUGUCUGCAUUGACUUUAGAAACCUCAAUAAGGCUACACCGAUGGAUGGUUAUCCAAUGCCAAUUGCUGUUGAUGGUUCUUAUGUAUCAAUUUUAAUUAUCAAAUAAACAAGGGAAAGGACCAAUAUACAAACAACACCUAGAAUUAGGGUUUGAUCUGACAGAAUUCCAUGAAUUUUAUUGUUUAUCUGUUUCAGCAGGGGGUUAUCAGGAAAUAAGGAAGAAAGGCACACAUGUCAGAAUUACAUAGAGAUAUUAACGUGCCACACAAAUAAGGAAGAAAGGCCCACUUGUCGGAAUUACAUAGAGAUAUUAACGUGCCGCUCAAUUUUCUAUCAUCUAGAAGAAUCCAGAAGCCACGGGAACGAACGGGAAGGCGAUCGGGCCCGGGGGCAGGGCGCCCGCCCUACCCCCCUGGGCGCCCGCCCACUUCCUGUAGCCAAUCACGGUGAAUCUCGCGGAUCAUGCUCCACCGACUGUUGACGGUCCUUAAUGCUCACAUUUAAAUGUCAACUAAUCAAGAAAAAGGAUCCAAAUGCAACCAACACCUAGACUUAGAGUUUCAUUUGACAGAUUUCCACGAGUUUUGGUGUUUGUCUAUUUCUGCAGGGGGUUAUCAGGAAAUACGAAGGAAAGGCCCACACGUCGGGUUUACAUAGAGAUAUUAACGUGCCACGCAAUUUUCUAUCAUCUAGAAGACUCCAGAAGCCACGGGAACGAACGAGAGGCUGAACGGGCCCGGGGGUAGGGCGCCCGCCCUUCCCCCUUGGGCGCCCACCCUGGUACAAGAACCAAUCACAGAAUGGAGUACACCAUUACAAAGAUCUCGUCGAGCUGAUCGAAAUGCAUAUAUUAUUUGCUAUAUUUGGAGUUCAGAAUCAAGAGAUAUUAAUAAAAGGACUCCACAUAAAAGAGCUGCGGGAUUAAUUGGGCCCAAAUCAGAUUUUGGUCCAUUAAGGCCUAUGUGCAUUUUAAUGAGAUAUAGUGGAAAGUUUAGUACCACAUCGCCUGCUGAACCAAAAAGGCACGAAAGGAGGUGGCUAUAUAAGCAAGGCCCCUAGCCUCUAGAGGAGAACAUAUCAUUAUAGAGUUGAGAGGUGCCCUCGAAAGAUAACCUUUCCUCUAUAGAGAAUAAGGGCUAGACGUUCCAAUAUAGUAGAUUAGUGUUGACGGUCCUUAAGUACUAAAAUUAAUAAUCAAAUAAACAUGAAAAAGGAUCAAUAUAAAACAAACAUCUAGAAUUAGGGUUUUAUCUAACAGAAUUCCACGAGUUUUGGUGUUUAUCUAUUUUUGCAGGGGUUUAACAGAAAAUAUGGAGAGAAGGCCCACAUGUCAUGUUUACAACGAGAUAAUUAUGUGCCGCGCAAUUUUCCUCCAUCUAGAAGGAUCCAGAAGCCACGAGAACGAACGGGACGCGAUUCGGGCUCGGGAGCUGGGCGGCCGCCCACCCCCCUUGGGCGCCCGCCCUGGCCAGGAAGCCAAUCAGGACUCUGCUUCGGGACAACGCUCCACCGACCUAAAGGAUCAAUCUAAACCAUACAAUCUAUGUCGGUUUGAUCCAAUGGCUCACGUUCACUUGAGGGGACUAUAAAACCAGACCCCCUGGCCCCUGGAGGAAGAGAGGAGAAAUCAUUAUUCAGAGGUAGCCAUCAAAGUUAGGGUUUAGAGCUUCUCUCCCACAGAGAAUUAGAAUUAGCUACUCCCUAAUCCUUCAAGUUUAGAGGUUGAUUAGAUAGCAAUUAGAGAAGUAGAGCACUACGCUCUGGAUUCGGAUCUUCGGUAAUAAAGAUUGGUAUUAUUCAUAUCUUUCUCUAAUUCUAUUGUUCUAAUUGCAUUAUGUCUCUAAUUAUUAUGCUCUUAGUUUGCUCUAGUUCUAUAUUUGAUAUAGUUCUAAUUGAUAAUGAGUUUAUGUAUAAGUUUGCAAAGCGCUUAGCUCUUGUCGCGAGGGAGUUAGGUGAUAGAUCACAUGUGAGCGUGGUGCUUAGAUGUUAUUUAUCUGCAAAUGUAUCCUAUUGGCCGGGUCGUGUGGUAGUUCGCGAUAGUGACAGCUUCGUUGAUUCUUAUAUAGUCCACCCUCCGUUGAUAGGACAGGCAGAACCGGUAUUGUGGAGUAAGUCAUGCGAUGUUCUGAUUUACUUUAUCAAUGUUCCUUAUACAUGAAUGAAGAGUCUUUUAUGCUAUAUAUGAUCUUGUAGAUAACUAGAGUAGAUUAUGACUUAGUAGUUAGUAGAUAACUUAGAAUCCAUUCUCUAGCUAAUCCGACAUCACCUACAUAUAUGAGGAGUAGUCUAUUUUCUAAUCGCUGUGUCAUCUACCCAUGAACUUAUACUUUAUUAUCAUUAUCUUUUUGGUUUAUCCCCUGCUUAAGUAUGUGACUGUGUGACGAGUUUCUUAUUAGUAAUCAUGUUCUUGCAAGUUUAUCUCUAGUCUAUGCCUUGAUAGAUUUUGUCCCUUGAUUUAAUUCCAUCUUCUUUAGAUCCCUUGAGCAAAAUUAUAAAUAACGAUACCUGGAAUACUUAUCCUGGUGAAAUGCUACAAUGAGGUGUUUUAUCUGUGUGCUUGCGGAUAGAAUAGAUUAUUUUCUAGAGAGCCUUUACAUUUAUAAAUACCUUUGUACACUCUGGCGCCAUGCUAGGGAUGACAACCUAGUAUCUAAGUGGUGUUAGCUAGUGUCAACAAGCAUUUCUGGCGCCGUUGCCGGGGAAUUAUAGGAAUUUAUAGGAUCUUAUAGGAAUUAUAUGAGUCUCAGGAAUAAGUCAUAAAAGGGAACAAAAGGGUAAUAUUAAGGAAAGCCAGAAAAUCAAUCAAGGUUAUUCACAGAAAAUAUUAGACUAGACUAUAGAGAAAUAAUUGCAUAAAAACAGCUACUAAGUGAGAAAUCAUAACAAGGCACCGCUGCUUUGGCAGGUUCACCCUGUUGUUUUUCUAUGUUUAUAUUUUUAUACAGGGUAUAACAGGAUUGACUUUGGGUACAUUCAACUCUUCAUCAUCAGAACCAAAGCAAUCAAAAGAAGAAGAAGCUAGCUACCAAUUGCUGAAGCUAUGGCACAAAAGACCUUGCAAGAAUUCUCUGCUCCAAGUCUUGACAACAUUCCAACUGGUCCAAGAUUUGCAGUAGAAGAAGGAAUACCUGAGUUUGAGCUCAAGUCAAGCCUCAUCAAUUUGGUACAAGCUACACAAUUCAGUGGAAAGGCACAUGAAGAUGCCAGUGCACACUUGCAGAAUUUCUUAGAGAUUGGAAGCACAAUCCACAUCAACGGAGUUGACAAAGACGUCAUACUACUUCGCCUUUUUCCAUUCUCACUAGAAGGGAAAGCGAGGAAGUGGUUCUACACUCAUCAAGAUAGCAUCAACAACUGGACGAACUUGUCAGAUGCCUUUCUAUCAAAGUUUUUCCCUAUAGGCAAAACAACUGCCUUAAGAGGAAAUAUUGUCAGUUUCCAACAGCAGAAGACAGAAGCCAUUUUAGAAGCAUGGGAGCGUUUUCAAGGAUACAUAUCAGAUUGUCCUCACCAUGGAAUGGCCACAUGGUUACUUAUGCAGACCUUCUACCAUGGAUUAACCCAGAAGACUCGUGAGUGCCUAGAUGCAUCUGCUAAAGGAUCAUUCUUGGAGCUUACAACUGGAAAAGCAGAGAUACUUUUGGAUAAGAUAGCAGAAAACCAAAGCUGGUUCCAAGAUAAAGCCCAACAAUGUCAUCAAACUGAAGAAAUACCAGAAGAAGUAAAUGCAUUAUCAACUAAGAUGGAAAAAUUGCUCCAUUGGAUUGACCAGAGGGCCAAGUUCAAAGAAGAUCAAAGGGCCAUUGAGACAGCAUACAAAUAUCAGCCAACUUCGAGUCAACCCAAUAGCAAAGGUAUGAAUUCAGGUAAUACUGUCAAACAACUUUCAUUAAAAGAGAUAAUUGCUCAACAAACCAAAAUUAAUGAUGAAGUUAAACAAAGGCUAGAUACAAAUGAAUCAUCUCUAAAAGAUAUACACAAUAAAAUGGAUUUUCUACUAACUGCCUUUGAUGAGCAGAACACUCUUAAUAAAAGGGUAGAGCUUAAAUUAAUAAAGUUAGCUGCUGCACUGCCUGUUGCUACUAACAUUGAGCAGGUAAAGAAUAUAACUACUAGAGGAGGUAAAGCUACCAGAGAUCCACCAUACCCAAAAGAGAAACAAAGAACAUCAGCACCAGUGCAACCAGCAGUGAUAGAAGAAGAAAGCCCAGUUGAAGCAGAAGAUCUGCUCCAACCACCAAGAACUAGAGAAAUGAGGAAAGAUUUUUACAACACCAACUAUUUGCCAUUUCCCAUAAGAAACAGAGGACUGCAGUCGGAUGAGCAGUUUGGUAAGUUUGUAGAGGUCAUUCAGAAAUUAUAUGUCAACAUACCUCUGCUCGAUGCCAUACAGGUACCUACAUAUGCAAAGUACAUCAGAGAUAUUCUUAACAAGAAGAGACCACUGCCCACCACUGAGGUUAUCAAGCUGACAGAAGGAUGUAGUGCGGUCAUCCUCAACAAACCACCAAAGAAAAAGGAAGAUCCAGGAUGCCCCACUAUUGAUUGCUCGAUCGGAAACCAACACUUCAACAAUGCACUUUGUGAUCUUGGAGCAAGUGUCAGUGUGAUGCCAGCAUCAGUCUACAAAAAGCUUGAGCAUGCAACCUUAGAACCAACAUCAAUGUGUCUACAACUAGCGGAUCAAUCGGUUCGACACCCGUUGGGCAUCGCUGAGAACAUUCCAGUCAAGAUCAGAGAUUUCCUUGUGCCAGUAGACUUCGUAGUACUGGACAUGAGUCCUGACUCGAAAGUAUCCAUCAUCCUUGGAAGGCCAUUUCUGAGCACUGCCAAUGCCCACAUUGAUGUCGGGAAGGGAGAAAUCAAGUUCAACAUAAACGGUCAAGAAGAACACUUCACAUUCAAACCCAGACCAGAGAGAGACUCUACAGUGAAGGAAGUUCAUGAAGAACCACUGGAGACACCAUCUCCGGAGGAAGGAAACUCAGAAGAUUACAAGAAUUAGAGGUCCAGCUUGGGGGACCUAAAAAUCCAACACCCUCACCGGGAGGUAAAUCGGUAUUUACCCGCAUUAUUAAUUUUCUCGUAUUUAAAUUCUUGCAUAAUUAAGUCUUGCAUUAGUCAUAUAUAUUCAUAGCAAUAUUAUAAUAAUCAAAAAGCCCCAUAUAAAUAAUAUUCGUGGUGUGUAACAACCCAUAUUUAUUAAUUAUUGUGGAGGCACAAAAAUAUUUUCCAAUAUCAUUUUCAAUAAGUUUCGAUUCUCAUAGGUCUUCAUGCAUUAUAUUUAAUCAUAUAAAUCUUCUAGAAGCAUGACCCACACUCUUUGGGUCCCACAUGUCAUACACUUCACCUCACAUACAUCCCAUCACAUAAUUUCAUCCACCAAUAUGUUUCCACUCAUCUUUCCACCGUCCAACCACCACUAACACAAUAUUAUUCUGCGUGAGAUCAAAGCAAGGAAGCAAGUGGAGGAGGCACACCUAGGAUGGACACCAGGGGUGGGCGCCCGCCCACUUACCUUGGGCGCCCGCCCUGUCCCCUGCUCAGCCUAUAAAAGGCCACCUCCAGCUUCCCUUCUCUCCACGCAAGCACUCCAGAAAACCACACAAAUCUCAGUUUCCCGAGAAGGAGCUUUUGUAGUGAAGAGAAGAGAGUAGAGAGAAAGAGGAGAGUGGAAGGGAAGGUUGGAGUUCUUUUGAGAAAGUGAUUGUCACUUAGCAAAUAGUGAUCCCGCUGUCCAAGCGGAAGUAAAAGUUGUUUAGGGGAAGGCUCUACCAAGAUAGAAACUUGUCUUGAACAAUUAACCCCUUGACUUCUGACACUCCGGACAGCUAACCACUAACAUUUUAUCUCACAUUUUCCACCAGUUGUGUUUUUUGCCAACUUUUGUUUGCAGGAUGUUUAAGAAGGUGAAGAAUGCAGGGAAGGCUCUCAAGAACAUUGGUACAAGGAGUUCAACCCGACACUCCUCACAGCCAUCAGAGAUGAGCAUCGAUCCGACACCCACACAAGCUCCAUCAUCUUCAUCAGGCCAGCAAGUCAAGGUCCUUCUCAAGAUAGGAGACCUAGGACUGAAGACCCGAAGAGAGAAGGAAGUCUAUCAGCAAUUGAAGAACAAAGAUUUCAUUCACACCCCUACUAUCGAUCCAAUCCUACUACGAGAAACAGGUAUGGACACUGAAUUUGACUUAAUUUUUCAAAUGAUGGGUUGGACAAAUUUUUGGAAUAUAACUGAGCUGGGUUCUCGUCUUCUCACCCUCGAAUUUCUUUGCACUUUACAAUACUAUGAGGGGGGAAUUGCUUUUCGGAUGUUUAAACAGGAAAUUAUGUUAUCUUGGAGAGAGCUGAGCGACCAUCUUGGUUUCUCUUCAAGAUGCAUCCUGAACAUUGACUCCGAUUUACCCAAUGUUGAGAGACACCAGUUUUGGAGAGAAAUAUCUAGAGAUAAUUUUUAUAGUCAAGCCCGAACCAGUGACAUGGAACACCCCACUCUUAGGAUGUUUCAGAAAUGGCUUGGGUACAAUCUUUUCUAUCGCGGUGAUAUUAGGAAAGUAAGAGUAGGAGAUUUACAACUUUUAUAUGCUGCUAUUAGUAAAGUGCCCACUUCACCUGUUACACUAUUAGUUUCACAUUGGCUUAGUAUACCUAGUCUUCAGGGACCAGUAGGAUGUACUUCACUUAUCACUCGUCUAGCCACUAAUCUUCACUUACUAGAAAACUCAUCGUUGGACUUCAUAGAAGAAUUAAGAAUUUAUCAUGGCUAUGACACAUUUAGACAAGCUCGGAUGUUAAAGAAAGAGGGGAAUAUAAUAUAUAUGCUAUAUGAUGAUAAAGGCAAGAUUCGGUUACCUAACCCGAACCUUGGCCUCUACUCUGUGCAAAACUUUUUGAUUGAGAUUACAGCAACACCAGUGAACCAGAGAACUCCACAGCGAGUGGGAUCUAAAAGGAUAACCACUCACCGAGAACGCACUUGGUAUGGAGCUGACCCUGGACCAGAAGAAGCAGCGCACCUGCAUUAUUGCAAUUACAACCCUCGAGUCCUUCGAGACCCAUGGGCUUGUCAUGCGCAACCACAAGAGCCAACAGAGGAGACAUGGCCGGAGAGCCAAGAUCACCAGUGGACAAACCCGCCUUUUCAUACGGGCAGGUACUCCACUGAUCCAUAUGGAGCUUCAGGAUCCAGACCUCCACCCCAAUUUGAUGCACGACGAUACUCCGACGCCUCCUACGCCUUCACAAAUGACUACUAUCAAGAGGCCGGUGCUUUCUUCACUCGUACCGACAACACCCUCCUCGACAUCCAGAACACGCAAGUAGAACAUGGAAGACUCCUGGAAGAGCAACAAAAAUGGAACCAGGACCAUGCCGCUGCAGUAGAAGAGCUGAGACAAGAUACAACAACAAUGAACGACAACAUCACAACCAUGAUGCGGUUCUGGAACAUCGGGUAAGACCGACGGCAACAUCCAGCUUGGGGGAGUUCCUCCCAAAUUUAUCAAGUAAGUUUUUAUUUGCUCUUCUUAUUUAUUCUAUUCUAUUUUAGUAUUUUAUCUUAAAAGUAAAAAACUUAGAAAACCAAAUAAAUAUUUUCUUGCUUUAAUUUACUGCACUUUAUAAACAUGAAAACAAAAUAAAAAGAGUGUGUAGAUAAGUGUGUUUUAUUUUUUUACUAAGUAUAAUCUCUAGAAAAAAUAAAAAGACCAAAAAUAUGCAUGAUGGAAAUGAUGAACAGUUGCUCUGUUUGCUUACUUACAAGUACCUAGCUUUUAUAUUAGAAUUCUUCCAGGAAUUACUAAAACUAAAAUUACUAUCUUUGGGAAGCAUAAAACUAAAGUCUAGGUGAGAGAAAGGCAUGAUAUAAAGUUGAGCCACUGUUUAUCUUGUUCCUACUACACUAAGUUCUGGAGAUUUAUUUUGAAAACUUACAAAUCACAUGAUGAGUUCCUAGCAUAACAAACUACCUACCACAGCCAUACUUGCUAUAAGAUCUUUUACUAUAUUUACAUUGAGUUUGAUCGAGCUGUGUCGACCCUUAGGAGCUUUUCAUGUGGUUAAAUUAAGAUAUUCACUUGCACACAUCUACCACAGCAUCCACCACCAUUCAUUAAAAUUGUUAAAAAUAUUAUCACUCACUGUCCCAAGUAUUGUUAUUCUCUCUCUCUAAAAAAAUUCAAUGCAGAAGAGGCAUGGGUUAUGCAAAAAUAUACGAGGAAAUAAAACGGGGCAAGUGCCCGGAAACCUCGGGAAAAGAAAGAAAAAGAGUGAGACGAGAGGUAAAAAUGGACAAGUGUCCGAAGUAGAAUUAGGGGUACAAAGAUGCCCACUUGAGCGGAAAAAAUAGACAAGUGUCCGACAGUAGAAUUAGGGGUAUCUACUACCCACCUGAAAAAAAAAGAAAGAGAAAAGAAAAGAAAAAGAUAGCCCAUGUUCUCCCAAGGCAAAGAUCAAAGAAGAGGAGAGAUAGCAAUAUAAGGAGCAAUGAGAACUAAAUUUUAUUAUUAUCACUUAUGCAUUUUCACCAUCACUAUCAUUUACUCCAUCACACAUGCACAUCUUGAUUUAAUUAUAUGCUGAGUUCCUUUGGAUCCAUGGCUCGAUUAGACAACAUAUGUAUGAGCUGUUUUUCACUCCUAUGAGCUCCACUUAAAUAUUCCAUUAGCUAUAGGUAAGUGACAUCAUGGUAAGGAUCCACAAAUACCACAUAUAGAGAGACUUAAGAGAUUAUUGCUGGGAACUCUGAGUUUUAUUUUGAAAACUUAUUAAAAAACUCUAGAACAAAGGUGAAGUAUAGACAGGAGGGAUAGUACUUGACUUAACUAUUUUGUCUUUUGAUUACUUAAGACUUAAGUGCAGGUACUAAACUUCAUAACACUUCACUUUAAUCUGGACGAAUUUUUAUGUAAAAGCAUGUGUGCCUGUCAGGAAAGAAAACAUCGAAGCAACUUCUGAUUCGUCUGAGUUUAGUUAUUUGCUCAGGGACGAGCAAAAGGUAAGCUUGGGGGAGUU
This 26234-nucleotide long non-coding RNA is filed under the name Sorghum bicolor (sorghum). RNAcentral describes it as "long non-coding RNA (SBIC_LNC011959)". The record is from RNAcentral. Lineage: Eukaryota; Viridiplantae; Streptophyta; Magnoliopsida; Poales; Poaceae.